GAUGAACGCUGGCGGCGUGCCUAAUACAUGCAAGUCGAGCGAACAGACGAGGAGCUUGCUCCUCUGACGUUAGCGGCGGACGGGUGAGUAACACGUGGAUAACCUACCUAUAAGACUGGGAUAACUUCGGGAAACCGGAGCUAAUACCGGAUAAUUUAUUGAACCGCAUGGUUCAAUAGUGAAAGACGGUUUUGCUGUCACUUAUAGAUGGAUCCGCGCCGCAUUAGCUAGUUGGUAAGGUAACGGCUUACCAAGGCAACGAUGCGUAGCCGACCUGAGAGGGUGAUCGGCCACACUGGAACUGAGACACGGUCCAGACUCCUACGGGAGGCAGCAGUAGGGAAUCUUCCGCAAUGGGCGAAAGCCUGGCGGAGCAACGCCGCGUGAGUGAUGAAGGUCUUCGGAUCGUAAAACUCUGUUAUUAGGGAAGAACAAAUGUGUAAGUAACUAUGCACGUCUUGACGGUACCUAAUCAGAAAGCCACGGCUAACUACGUG
RNAcentral lists this ribosomal RNA (497 nucleotides) under uncultured bacterium. RNAcentral's name for it is "partial 16S ribosomal RNA". It matches the Rfam family "Bacterial small subunit ribosomal RNA", at positions 28 to 507 of the family's 1533-position model. The record is from RNAcentral.